This is a non-coding RNA of Vicugna pacos (alpaca), 72 nucleotides long. NCBI's taxonomy places the organism in Eukaryota, Metazoa, Chordata, Mammalia, Artiodactyla, Camelidae. The record is from the annotation of a RefSeq genome assembly.
GAAGGUAUAGCUCAGCGGUAGAGUACAUACCUUGCAUGCACGAGGUCCUGGGUUCAAUCCCCAGUACCUCCA